GGGUCAGUAGGUUGGUCGUGCCACCGGUACGUACUGGUCUCACUGAUUCCUCCUUCCUAAAGAACCGUAAUGCCACUAAUUUGGUGUUGCGGGGAAACAGGACUGUUACUUUGAAAAAAUUAGAGUGUUUAAAGCAAGCUAACGCUUGAAUACAUUAGCAUGGAAUAAUGAAAUAGGACGAUCGAUCCUAUUUUGUUGGUUUCUAGGAUUGACGUA
RNAcentral lists this ribosomal RNA (216 nucleotides) under Glomeromycotina sp. RNAcentral's name for it is "partial small subunit ribosomal RNA". The stretch from base 40 to 216 matches the Rfam family "Eukaryotic small subunit ribosomal RNA", at positions 686 to 864 of the family's 1831-position model. Lineage: Eukaryota; Fungi; Glomeromycota. The record is from RNAcentral.